This 253-nucleotide ribosomal RNA is filed under the name uncultured bacterium. RNAcentral describes it as "partial 16S ribosomal RNA". It matches the Rfam family "Bacterial small subunit ribosomal RNA", at positions 524 to 776 of the family's 1533-position model. The record is from RNAcentral.
UACGUAGGGUGCGAGCGUUAAUCGGAAUUACUGGGCGUAAAGCGUGCGCAGGCGGUUGGUUAAGUCUGAUGUGAAAGCCCCGGGCUUAACCUGGGAAUGGCCAUGGAAACUGGCGAACUGGAGUGUGGCAGAGGGGGGUGGAAUUCCGCGUGUAGCAGUGAAAUGCGUAGAGAUGCGGAGGAACACCAGUGGCGAAGGCGGCUCACUGGUCCAUUACUGACGCUGAGGUGCGAAAGCGUGGGGAGCAAACAGG